This 400-nucleotide ribosomal RNA is filed under the name uncultured bacterium. Its description in RNAcentral is "bacterial SSU rRNA". It matches the Rfam family "Bacterial small subunit ribosomal RNA", at positions 356 to 773 of the family's 1533-position model. The record is from RNAcentral.
GGGGAAUAUUGGACAAUGGGGGAAACCCUGAUCCAGCCAUGCCGCGUGAAUGAUGAAGGCCUUCGGGUUGUAAAGUUCUUUUGGUGGGGACGAUAAUGACGGUACCCACAGAAUAAGCUCCGGCUAACUUCGUGCCAGCAGCCGCGGUAAUACGAAGGGGGCUAGCGUUGUUCGGAAUUACUGGGCGUAAAGGGCGCGUAGGCGGUAUAAUAAGUCAGGUGUGAAAGCCCUGGGCUCAACCCAGGAACUGCGCUUGAUACUAUUAUUCUUGAAUUCGGGAGAGGUGAGUGGAAUUCCCAGUGUAGAGGUGAAAUUCGUAGAUAUUGGGAGGAACACCGGUGGCGAAGGCGGCUCACUGGACCGACAUUGACGCUGAGGCGCGAAAGCGUGGGUAGCAAAC